This 253-nucleotide ribosomal RNA is filed under the name uncultured bacterium. RNAcentral describes it as "partial 16S ribosomal RNA". It matches the Rfam family "Bacterial small subunit ribosomal RNA", at positions 524 to 776 of the family's 1533-position model. The record is from RNAcentral.
UACGUACCGUACGAACGUUAUUCGGAAUUACUGGGCUUAAAGGGUUUGUAGGCGGCCUUGUAAGUCAGGUGUGAAAUCCCUCGGCUCAACCGAGGAAUAGCGCUUGAUACUGCAAGGCUUGAGGGAGACAGGGGUAAGCGGAACUGAUGGUGGAGCGGUGAAAUGCGUAGAUAUCGUUUGGAACGCCAAUGGUGAAAACAAGUAGCUGGGGAUGUGCCGACGCUGAGACACGAAAGCCAGGGGAGCGAACGGG